RNAcentral lists this ribosomal RNA (732 nucleotides) under uncultured eukaryote. RNAcentral describes it as "SSU rRNA". It matches the Rfam family "Eukaryotic small subunit ribosomal RNA", at positions 672 to 1426 of the family's 1831-position model. The record is from RNAcentral.
GGCGUGUACUGCUUGGCUGGGCCUUACUUCUUGGUGAGCCGGCGUGCCCUUUAUUGGUGUGCGUUGGGGAACCAGGACUUUUACCUUGAGAAAAUUAGAGUGUUCAAAGCAGGCCUAUGCCUGAAUACAUUAGCAUGGAAUAAUAGAAUAGGACGUGCGGUUCUAUUUUGUUGGUUUCUAGAGUCACUGUAAUGAUUAAUAGGGACAGUUGGGGGCAUUGGUAUUGAGUCGCUAGAGGUGAAAUUCUUGGAUUGACUCAAGACCGACUAUUGCGAAAGCAUUUGCCAAGGAUGUUUUCAUUAAUCAAGAACGAAGGUUAGGGGAUCGAAAACGAUCAGAUACCGUUGUAGUCUUAACAGUAAACUAUGCCGACUAGGGAUUGGAUGACCUCAAAAUUGAUGUGUCAUUUGGCACCUUACGAGAAAUCAAAGUCUUUGGGUUCUGGGGGGAGUAUGGUUGCAAGGCUGAAACUUAAAGGAAUUGACAGAAGGGCACCACCAGGUGUGGAGCCUGCGGCUUAAUUUGACUCAACACGGGGAAACUCACCAGGUCCAGACAUAACUAGGAUUGACAGAUUGAUAGCUCUUUCAUGAUUUUAUGGGUGGUGGUGCAUGGCCAUUCUUAGUUGGUAGAGUGAUUUGUCUGGUUAAUUCCGAUAACGAACGAGACCUUAACCUGCUAAAUAGCCAGGCCGGCUUCAGCUGGUCUCUGGCUUCUUAGAGGGACUGUCAG